Carassius auratus (goldfish) is the source of this 1050-nucleotide long non-coding RNA. RefSeq lists it as uncharacterized. Lineage: Eukaryota; Metazoa; Chordata; Actinopteri; Cypriniformes; Cyprinidae. The record is from RefSeq and is a predicted model, not a curated record. The transcript has 3 exons.
GUGGCUGCCAUUGACAGCCGGAAGGCAGUAACUGACAGCCGGAUGGUAGGCGGGACCUGCCAUUCGGUGGGAGCCAAUCAGUAUCGUCCAACGUGGGCGCAACCAAUCAGAUAUAACUGCACCCAAACGCUUCAGUAAUGGUUGUGAUUGAUCAAAUGGUAAGUUCAGAAAUUGGUCAUCGGAGUAAUUAAUGUUUUUUUGCGUUUUGCCAGAUGCUGUCCUGUUGGAAAUUCUUCUUUACGUGAUCCUGGAGGAGGGGUGAUGCUACAUUAUUAAGUCUGUCUUUGGUUUGUUCCAAAUUCAGAAGUCUGUUGUACUGUAUACAGACUCCUUUCGAAAGAGGGCACAAUCCAGCUGGCUUGACUGAGUAUCUUCUUUUACAUAUUUGAUUAGAGGUUUAAAAAGGUGCCAUAACAUUACAUUUCUCAGUUGCCAUGUCUGAAUGUUUAUCUUUGUAAUAAUGCUGUUUUCAUGCUCUUCAUCUCAAUAUACAGGUGGAACAAAAUGGAGAACAAUUCUGAGCCAUGUCAGGAAUUCUUCAAAAUGUACACCCUGCAGACAAUGCGACGAGGUUUACAAAAACUGCUUACCAGGUCACUGCAGUCACCCGGAUAGAGUACGUAUCCAGACCAGAUGGUGGAUCGCACCUAGAAAGGACCUCUACAUCCCUGAAAGACAGCGGAGACCAGGACAACUAGAGCCCAGAUACAGAUCCCCUGUAAAGACCUUGUUUUUUUUCUCCAUUUUGUCACCGGUGGAGUUUUGGUUCCUUGUCGCCUCUGGCUUGCUUCGUUGUGGUCACUUCAUUUACAGUGAUAUCAUUGACAUGAUUGCAAACGAUUCCACAGAUACUAUUUAAACUGAACUGAGCUGAAGGAUGACCUCACUGAAUUGAAUGAUAAACUGUCUUUUAAACUGACUACAAACUGAGUUUACUAAUGUCCUUCUGCAUUAUUGACUGACACACUAUUUUUCUAUUUAAUACUGUAAAGUUGCUUUGCUUUGAUCUGUAUUAUUAAAAGCACUAUAUAAAUAAACGAUGCUUGACUU